GUGACCCUGGGGUUGUAGUUGAUGAAAAUAUGGCCGCGCGCCUGAUCAAUGGUGUGAAACAGCGGGUUCCAGAUGAACAUUGGCAGCAUGUAGCCCGGAAGGGAGUUGGCAAGCACCAUCUUGCCGGAAAACAGCAUAUUGGACCGCUG
Non-coding RNA from Alphaproteobacteria bacterium MedPE-SWcel, 149 nucleotides. Lineage: Bacteria; Pseudomonadati; Pseudomonadota; Alphaproteobacteria. The record is from Rfam.